Molecule: ribosomal RNA, 433 nt
Filed under: uncultured bacterium
Lineage: Bacteria
Description: partial 16S ribosomal RNA
Rfam family: Bacterial small subunit ribosomal RNA
Source: RNAcentral
AACGAACGCUGGCGGCAUGCCUAACACAUGCAAGUCGAACGAGACCUUCGGGUCUAGUGGCGCACGGGUGCGUAACGCGUGGGAACCUGCCCUUAGGUUCGAAAUAACUCCCCGAAAGGGGUGCUAAUACCGGAUAAUGUCUUCGGACCAAAGAUUUAUCGACUUUGGAUGGGCCCGCGUUGGAUUAGCUAGUUGGUAGGGUAAAAGCCUACCAAGGCGACGAUCCAUAGCUGGUCUGAGAGGAUGAUCAGCCACACUGGGACUGAGACACGGCCCAGACUCCUACGGGAGGCAGCAGUGGGGAAUAUUGGACAAUGGGCGAAAGCCUGAUCCAGCAAUGCCGCGUGAGUGAUGAAGGCCUUAGGGUUGUAAAGCUCUUUUACCCGGGAUGAUAAUGACAGUACCGGGAGAAUAAGCUCCGGCUAACUCCGUG